AGAACGAACGCUGGCGGCAGGCCUAACACAUGCAAGUCGAACGCUGUAGCAAUACAGAGUGGCAGACGGGUGAGUAACGCGUGGGAACCUUCCCAGUGGUGCGGAAUAGCUCAGGGAAACUUGAGGUAAUACCGCAUAAGCCCUUAGGGGGAAAGAUUUAUCGCCAUUGGAUGGGCCCGCGUCGGAUUAGCUAGUUGGUGAGGUAAUGGCUCACCAAGGCAACGAUCCGUAGCUGGUUUGAGAGAAUGACCAGCCACACUGGGACUGAGACACGGCCCAGACUCCUACGGGAGGCAGCAGUGGGAAUCUUGGACAAUGGGCGCAAGCCUGAUCCAGCCAUGCCGCGUGAGUGACGAAGGCCUUAGGGUUGUAAAGCUCUUUUGCCGGGGACGAUAAUGACGGUACCCGGAGAAUAAGUCCCGGCUAACUUCGUGCCAGCAGCCGC
Molecule: ribosomal RNA, 445 nt
Filed under: uncultured bacterium
Lineage: Bacteria
Description: SSU rRNA
Rfam family: Bacterial small subunit ribosomal RNA
Source: RNAcentral